UUGACCUCGAAUCAGGUAGGAAUACCCGCUGAACUUAAGCAUAUCCAUAAGCGGAGGAA
RNAcentral lists this ribosomal RNA (59 nucleotides) under Fusarium solani. RNAcentral describes it as "partial 28S ribosomal RNA". It matches the Rfam family "Eukaryotic large subunit ribosomal RNA", at positions 1 to 58 of the family's 3401-position model. Lineage: Eukaryota; Fungi; Ascomycota; Sordariomycetes; Hypocreales; Nectriaceae. The record is from RNAcentral.